AGUCGCUAAUGUCAGAGAAUCCGUCCCCGUUCUCCUCAGGAUCCCGCCCACACACCGAGCCGCUGGGCAGUCCGGUGUCAGCCGACAUUGUGAUUAGUGCUGCAUGGGGAGGAUUAGGACAUCAAUACAAAUGUGGCACAUACACAAAAGAGUGUGCAAAAUAUUCAGAAGAGAAACGUAGUGCCCAGUGUCAGAAGCUGCGUCUCAUUUGCAAGUCAUGGGUUCGUCAGCAGCAUAAGGACCCAAAUCAUAACUCAAAAAGCACCAAAGAAUAGAUGAUGUUUUCAACUGGACUUUACUGUGAUCCCUCAUUCUGGACUCUCAUCAUCUUAUGAAAGAAAAUAUUUUUGACUUAAUAUUUUGAGUACUAUGUCCAUUUAAAUCAUUUUUUUCAUGCUAUUUUGGUGAUAAUUGCUGUCUGCGGAAUAUUAAUGGAGCUGUUCUUAUAGAGCUGAUACUCCAUAUCAGUGAAUCCCAAUCAUGGUGCAGCCGGAACACCUUUCCUAGCAUUGCACUACACAUUUUGGCCUAGAUGACAAGUAGAGGGCAAAAAUAUUACGCUAUUAAGCAAUAACACUGCUCAAGUUAAAUCAAUAGUGCUCUUAUUCCUGCACUCAUAUUACAAGCUGAAAGUAAAAUGGUAGUGCUCGAGCAAAAGCCUUAAGCAUGCUAACAUCCAGAGGUCAGAUAGCGUGGUUGUGCUAACUCCCUCACCUAAUAGACAUCAAUGGGGAGCUCUAUAAAACUCAUGUCCUGGCUUUUGCUCGAGCAAUAACCUAAAAGUGUGCUUAGCCGAAGUUGAGUCAAAAAGUUGAAAAAUUUUGUUCUUCACACCUUGUCAUAUACCAUAUCAAACUUUGUAAACAUUUAUUUUGAUAAAACAUAUACUUUACUUUUAA
This is a long non-coding RNA of Bombina bombina (fire-bellied toad), 899 nucleotides long. RefSeq lists it as uncharacterized. The record is from RefSeq and is a predicted model, not a curated record. Lineage: Eukaryota; Metazoa; Chordata; Amphibia; Anura; Bombinatoridae. The transcript is spliced from 2 exons.